ACCCUCUCUCUCCCCUCUCCCUCUUCCCCCGCGUCGCCCUCUCUUUUUCUUUUUCCGAUUUCUUCACAGUCCGGCGUCCGAUCGAUGUGAUUCCAGUUGUCCUUGGACCGUCUCUUCCUCCUCUAUACGAUGGUAUCAGUGGGUAUCGGUGAUUUGGCCGGAAAACCCCGAAUUUAUGCAAUCAUUGUUACUGUAGCAAUUUGCUUCUCCGGUGAAAUUCUCCAGUUUUCGGCUAUCUCCGGAGGGAAAAUUGGUUCUAUUAGGAGCGCCUCGAGUCACUGAUCAUAUUCCCUCAAGACUUCUAGCUGAAAUUUCCACGUUUGGAAGGUGAAUUUGAAGGAUUUCCAAAUUGGUGGGUUUGGAGAUUUCCGGGUUUGUGUUCAUCGGCAAAAUUGGAGUACUUCAAGUUUGCAGGCUAGGUUAAUUGAGGUCGGGCGUACAUGGAGUCGAGGCAUAGCCAACAGCAUUGCUUCCGCGUACUCAUUCUAUUUCUGUGUUCUUUACUACCUAAUGGAAUAGUAUUGCUCUGAUAACCUGUGAAAUUAAUCUUGUAAUGUGGGUUGAGAUUGUUAUUUGUGAAAUUGGAAGUUGAUGUUAUUUGGGGAGCAGGGUGGCUCCAGGAGAAUAAGGAUGAAUGAUUUAGAAGUGUAAAUGUUUUCUACAGGUUUUGGGUAGUCCAUUUUUAGGGGAAGUUCUGCCAAAUUUUUGGUAGAAUUUCUUCUAAGGUGGGCCCCACAGGGCCUCUUCGGAUUUCGGGUUGAAAUUUGGGGCGGGUCCUGUCAUCUGUUCUACUUUAUUUUAGCAGCAGCAAGCAAGCAAGCCUAAGAUCAACACUAGUAUUAGUGAAUCGACAACACCAAUACCGGUUAACGAAAGAAGUAAUGUUGCAACUCUGGAAGAAGAAAGAGGAAGUCAAGUAAUCGAUCUUGAAGAUGACGGAAGUGUGGAAAGCAUCCUUGAGGCAUUGAAAUGGAAAGAAACGUCAGAUAUUUGGAAUCAUUAUGAUAGGAAGGUUGUGGAGGGUGGAAUUAAGGGUGCAUGCAAUUAUUGCGGAAAAGAAUUCUGUGCUGAUCCUAGGAAGAAUGGUACAACCUCUCUUAUAAAUCAUGAGGAAAAGUGUCCAAAGUAUCCCCCGAAUAUUGAGAUGAUGAAAGCUAAAAGGCAAAGGAUUUUUUCUUUUAAAAAACCAACUAGUGAGUUGUGUACUGUAGAAUGCACUCAAGAAGAGCUAUCAUUGUUAUGUGUGGAGUAUAUUAUUCUAGAUGAGUUACCAUUUUCUCAUAUGGAGGGAGAGGGGUUUAGGCAGGGCCGGCCCUGAGGGCUGCCGCCUAAGGCAGCCGCCUCAGGCCACCGGCUCUCGGGGGCCUCCGGAAUUUGGAUUUUCUGUAUAUAAGCUAAAGAUAAUAUAUAUAUAUAUAUAUAUAUAUAUAUUACUAUUUGCUGUAAUAAGCACAAAGCCGCGCGUUGCUCCCGCGGAAGUGAAGCCAAACUGAUCCCUUGUCCACCAAGGUUUGAAUCACGGUCUGCACAACUCUUUAAAUUUCUUUCAAUCAAUUCAGGGGCCAC
Rosa chinensis is the source of this 1566-nucleotide long non-coding RNA. RefSeq lists it as uncharacterized. The record is from RefSeq and is a predicted model, not a curated record. The transcript is spliced from 3 exons. NCBI's taxonomy places the organism in Eukaryota, Viridiplantae, Streptophyta, Magnoliopsida, Rosales, Rosaceae.